This 427-nucleotide ribosomal RNA is filed under the name uncultured bacterium. Its description in RNAcentral is "bacterial SSU rRNA". It matches the Rfam family "Bacterial small subunit ribosomal RNA", at positions 355 to 774 of the family's 1533-position model. The record is from RNAcentral.
UGGGGAAUUUUGGACAAUGGGCGCUAGCCCGAUCCAGCAAUGCCGCGUGCAGGAUGAAGGCCUUCGGGUUGUAAACUGCUUUUGUCAGGGAAGAAACGAGUUUCUCUAAUACAGAGACUUAAUGACGGUACCUGAAGAAUAAGCACCGGCUAACUACGUGCCAGCAGCCGCGGUAAUACGUAGGGUGCAAGCGUUAAUCGGAAUUACUGGGCGUAAAGCGCACGCAGGCGGUUAUAUAAGACAGAUGUGAAAUCCCCGGGCUCAACCUGGGAACUGCAUUUGUGACUGUAUAGCUAGAGUACGGCAGAGGGGGAUGGAAUUCCGCGUGUAGCAGCGAAAUGCGUAGAUAUGCGGAGGAACACCGAUGGCGAAGGCAGCCUCCUGGGCCAGUACUGACGCUCAUGCACGAAAGCGUGGGGAGCAAACA